AGAGACUCCUUCUCUUCUCUUUUUUUCAUCAAGUCAAAGUAUUCUUUGCGCAUGACAAACUGUUGAAUUAUUCAACGACCAGUCACUAGUCAAUUUUUCCGGUGAGAUUUCCGGCGAGCUUCCAGCGGGAUUUCUGGGCGAGCUUCCGGUGGGGUUUUCUAUUGACUUCAGUUGAUCACUUCCGUUGUUUUUUCCGGUCAGUUGCUAAGGUGAGAUAGCCGAGCAGGAGUGAUUGCUUUCGGAUUGGUGCUUUGGGAGUUUUAUUCUUAUUUUCAGACUUCGGUUUUAUGCUUUUAUCGAUAUUUUCCGGAUUUAUUUUAUUUAUGCUAUUAUUGGAUUAUGGUGUUGAGUUUGACUUUUGAGAAGUAAUAAAUGGAGACUUUUAUGAGAUUA
Molecule: long non-coding RNA, 393 nt
Organism: Raphanus sativus (radish)
Lineage: Eukaryota; Viridiplantae; Streptophyta; Magnoliopsida; Brassicales; Brassicaceae
Exons: 3
Source: RefSeq, a predicted model, not a curated record